RNAcentral lists this ribosomal RNA (253 nucleotides) under uncultured bacterium. RNAcentral's name for it is "partial 16S ribosomal RNA". It matches the Rfam family "Bacterial small subunit ribosomal RNA", at positions 524 to 776 of the family's 1533-position model. The record is from RNAcentral.
GACGUAGGGCGCGAGCGUUGUCCGGAUUUAUUGGGCGUAAGGAGCUCGUAGGCGGCUCGUUGCGUCGGCUGUGAAAACCCGCAGCUCAACUGUGGGCUUGCAGCUGAUACGGGCGGGCUGGGAUUCGGUAGGGGAGACUGGAAUUCCUGGUGUAGCGGUGAAAUGCGCAGAUAUCAGGAGGAACACCGGUGGCGAAGGCGGGUCUCUGGGCCGAUAUCGACGCUGAGGAGCGAAAGCGUGGGGAGCGAACAGG